This 402-nucleotide ribosomal RNA is filed under the name Photobacterium sp. AZTITEMP130. RNAcentral's name for it is "bacterial SSU rRNA". It matches the Rfam family "Bacterial small subunit ribosomal RNA", at positions 934 to 1335 of the family's 1533-position model. The record is from RNAcentral. Lineage: Bacteria; Pseudomonadati; Pseudomonadota; Gammaproteobacteria; Vibrionales; Vibrionaceae.
GGAGCAUGUGGUUUAAUUCGAUGCAACGCGAAGAACCUUACCUACUCUUGACAUCCAGAGAAUUCGCUAGAGAUAGCUUAGUGCCUUCGGGAACUCUGAGACAGGUGCUGCAUGGCUGUCGUCAGCUCGUGUUGUGAAAUGUUGGGUUAAGUCCCGCAACGAGCGCAACCCUUAUCCUUGUUUGCCAGCACAUAAUGGUGGGAACUCCAGGGAGACUGCCGGUGAUAAACCGGAGGAAGGUGGGGACGACGUCAAGUCAUCAUGGCCCUUACGAGUAGGGCUACACACGUGCUACAAUGGCGUAUACAGAGGGCUGCAAACUAGCGAUAGUAAGCGAAUCCCACAAAGUACGUCGUAGUCCGGAUUGGAGUCUGCAACUCGACUCCANGAAGUNNGAANCGC